GAUGAACGCUAGCGGCAGGCCUAAUACAUGCAAGUCGAACGGGAUCUGAGGGUAGCUUGCUACCCGAUUUGAGAGUGGCGCACGGGUGCGUAACGCGUGAGCAACCUACUCAUAUCAGGGGGAUAGCCCGGAGAAAUUCGGAUUAACACCGCAUAAGAAUGUAUUACCACAUGUUAAAGCAUUUAAAUAUUUAUAGGAAAUGGGUUGGAGCGCGUGAAAUUAGCUAGUUGGUGAGGUAACGGCUCACCAAGGCGACGAUGUCUAGGGGCUCUGAGAGGAGAAUCCCCCACACUGGUACUGAGACACGGACCAGACUCCUACGGGAGGCAGCAGUAAGGAAUAUUGGUCAAUGGGCGAAAGCCUGAACCAGCCAUGCCGAGUGCAGGAUGACUGCCCUAUGGGUUGUAAACUGCUUUUGUCGAGGAAUAAACCUAUCUACGUGUAACUAGUUAAACGUACUCGAAGAAUAAGGAUCGGCUAACUCCGUGCCAGCAGCCGCCGUAA
RNAcentral lists this ribosomal RNA (504 nucleotides) under uncultured bacterium. Its description in RNAcentral is "partial 16S ribosomal RNA". It matches the Rfam family "Bacterial small subunit ribosomal RNA", at positions 28 to 523 of the family's 1533-position model. The record is from RNAcentral.